GUGUGUGUAUUUUACUCUGUAUCCAGAGUAAGGUGUACUGACUUGGCGAGAGUGGGUUGGAAGCCAUCUUUCUUUUGCUGGCCGUUUUGUUUACAAACAUUACCGUGCAGCAGAAAAAAGCAAAAUAAAUUUCGUCCGCAACCAGGUAAAAGUGCAGUGAGAAGAAAUCCAAAUACAUAAUGCGUUGGUACUGUGCGGUCAGCGGAUGUACAAAUAAAAAAUCAUCGACCAAGGAAAAUCCUGGCAUCACAUACCACAGAUUUCCAGCGGAUGAAGCAAGAAGAGCGAAAUGGGUGAGUUUUUGCGGACGUGGGGAAACGUGGACCCCUGUACCUAGUCAAGGAAUUUGUUCCAGGCACUUUCAUGGAACUAGUUACGAUUCGAACGUGAAACAUCGUCGGCAGCUCAUUUCAAACGCGAUUCCAGAGCUUAAUCCACGAUCCGAUCUCGGUCAACAACAGCAUCAGCACAGUUCAGUUUCACAGCAUAUGAUUUCAAAAGGACACAUGUUUAUGGAUAACUUCCAGAUCCUGAGCGAAAUUCCUUCUUUUGAUGAAAAUCUUAGAUUUUUGGACGAAACGAAUGUUGCCGACGACUCAGCUCUCGGUUCCGAAAAUAGCUUGGAGACGUCGCUUAUUUGUUAUCCGGUGGCCUCAGAUCCAGUGAAUUCGUCUGUAGAAUCCGACCACAAUUACCCCACUUCAUCGGUGACCGUUUGUGGUACGUAUUUGAUCCAUAUGGAUUUCUGUUGGUGGUGGCUUAUUGUA
This is a long non-coding RNA of Aedes aegypti (yellow fever mosquito), 767 nucleotides long. RefSeq lists it as uncharacterized. The record is from RefSeq and is a predicted model, not a curated record. The transcript is spliced from 4 exons. NCBI's taxonomy places the organism in Eukaryota, Metazoa, Arthropoda, Insecta, Diptera, Culicidae.